GAGGCGGGUCAUUACCGAGUUUACACUCCCAACCCAAUCUGUGAACGUUACCAAACUGUUGCCUCGGCGGGGUCACGCCCCGGGUGCGUCGCAGCCCCGGAACCAGGCGCCCGCCGGAGGAACCAACCAAACUCUUUCUGUAGUCCCCUCGCGGACGUAUUUCUUUACAGCUCUGAGCAAAAAUUCAAAAUGAAUCAAAACUUUCAACAACGGAUCUCUUGGUUCUGGCAUCGAUGAAGAACGCAGCGAAAUGCGAUAAGUAAUGUGAAUUGCAGAAUUCAGUGAAUCAUCGAAUCUUUGAACGCACAUUGCGCCCGCCAGUAUUCUGGCGGGCAUGCCUGUCCGAGCGUCAUUUCAACCCUCGAACCCCUCCGGGGGAUCGGCGUUGGGGAUCGGGACCCCUCACACGGGUGCCGGCCCCUAAAUACAGUGGCGGUCUCGCCGCAGCCUCUCCUGCGCAGUAGUUUGCACAACUCGCACCGGGAGCGCGGCGCGUCCACGUCCGUAAAACACCCAACUUUCUGAAAUGUUGACCUCGGAUCAGGUAGGAAUACCCGCUGAACUUAAGCAUAUCAAAUAAAGCGGAGGA
This 589-nucleotide ribosomal RNA is filed under the name Trichoderma asperellum. RNAcentral's name for it is "eukaryotic LSU rRNA". The stretch from base 199 to 352 matches the Rfam family "5.8S ribosomal RNA". Lineage: Eukaryota; Fungi; Ascomycota; Sordariomycetes; Hypocreales; Hypocreaceae. The record is from RNAcentral.